CCUACGGGUGGCUGCAGUGGGGAAUUUUGGACAAUGGGCGCAAGCCUGAUCCAGCAAUGCCGCGUGAGUGAAGAAGGCCUUCGGGUUGUAAAGCUCUUUUGUCAGGGAAGAAACGGCUGCGGAUAAUACCUGUGGCUAAUGACGGUACCUGAAGAAUAAGCACCGGCUAACUACGUGCCAGCAGCCGCGGUAAUACGUAGGGUGCAAGCGUUAAUCGGAAUUACUGGGCGUAAAGCGUGCGCAGGCGGUUUUGUAAGUCUGACGUGAAAGCCCCG
RNAcentral lists this ribosomal RNA (275 nucleotides) under uncultured bacterium. Its description in RNAcentral is "partial 16S ribosomal RNA". It matches the Rfam family "Bacterial small subunit ribosomal RNA", at positions 338 to 605 of the family's 1533-position model. The record is from RNAcentral.